Syzygium oleosum is the source of this 249-nucleotide long non-coding RNA. RefSeq lists it as uncharacterized. Lineage: Eukaryota; Viridiplantae; Streptophyta; Magnoliopsida; Myrtales; Myrtaceae. The record is from RefSeq and is a predicted model, not a curated record. The transcript has 3 exons.
CCGUGGCGCGGUUUCGGUUUUUUCUCGAUGACGCUGUUCGAUCCGAUUCUCUCGUAGAAUGUGGAGCGGGAACGGGUCGUGGUUGGGAGUGAUGGAUGUUCUGACAACGCUUGAUUGCAGCGAGUGGAGUGGGGCGAGAGAACUUUGAGUGAGGUCCAAGGCUCAUAAAGCUGUUUUCAAUCACGCUCUUGUGACGAUGGUCGUGGAGUAUGCAUCUGCUGUUUACAUGUCAGAUUUGACAGAACUUUU